Chrysemys picta bellii (western painted turtle) is the source of this 7393-nucleotide long non-coding RNA. RefSeq lists it as uncharacterized. The record is from RefSeq and is a predicted model, not a curated record. NCBI's taxonomy places the organism in Eukaryota, Metazoa, Chordata, Testudines, Emydidae.
CCCUCCCUCCCCAGCCAGAGACUCCACCAAUCCGGAGAGGCGCCUCCGAGCCCUGCCGGCGCUGGAGGUAAAGUUCAAAAGUCUAAAGCCAAUGAACUAUUCUCCAACUCAGACCCUCUCGAACAAUCAGUGUGAGGAUUUUCAUAAAUAAGAAAUACCUGGGUUAUCUACCACCAUGGAAAAGACCCCACACUGCCAUCUAGAAAUCAUCUUUCAUUUGAAUGAGGCCAUAGUGUGGCUGACCCUGGUGGAGCUCAUUGGGAGAAGACAGAAAAAGACACCUCCCUCUCUGCAAUGUCAAGGACUGCUUCAGAUUAAUGUUAUCACUGAUACUAGCAACCCAAAAGGAGGAUGGGAGAAACAGGAUGAAGGUGGGACCAUGAUCUUGUCCUUUGCUCUGCCCCAAUCAGCAGAGCAGAACUGGCACAAAGGGAGUGCAGGUUGCACCUCUCCAAAGAGUACCGGGAGCUGCCACUCCACUGUAUUAUCCGCAAUAGAAAUUUUGAUUGAGUCAGUCAGAAUUCCUGCAGGAGCUGCAGUGCAGACUUUCUACCCAACUUCCAGAGAUUUAAAGCUACGGUAUAGGCCUGUAUUUGCUACUUUUUAAUGUCAGUUGUCACAUAUUCCUGUCUGAUGGAAUAGCAUCUGACUGGCCAUCUCUACACUAUCUAUUGAUAGCUAUUCACUAUCUAAUGUACUCCCAUCAUAUUUUCUUUUAACUUUUGCCUUUCAAAAUUAUAUAAUUCUAGUCAUUUUAAUUUUUCCUCUUUUGGAAGUAUCCAUGUCUUUAAUUAGUUUUGUUGACUUAUCUGGACUUUUUUUAAUCUCUUCUAUAUCCCUUUAGAGAAGAGGUAACCAAAUUGAACACAUUAUUAAAAUCAAGAGUAUACCACUGAAUUAAUAAGCAGAAUAUCAUUUCCAUAUUAGUCUCUAUCCCCUUCUUAACACAGUCUAACAGCUUCUUUUUUUUACUCCUACUAUGCAUUAAGAAAUAGAAAUCUAGAAUAGUUCCUAGAUAUUUUCCCUAAGAAGUUACACAUAAUCUAGCAACCUCAGGUGUGUCCAAAAACUUUAAAUUGUUUCUUUCAAUGAUUAAAGGGCAAUGACACACUAUGUGAAUUACCUUCCACUAGUCUAGAGUAAAUUUCAUCUGAAAUAUUUCUUAUUUUUCUACUUUUUAUGGUACUUCUUUUUUCUCCUCCCUGUGCUCCCUAGCUGACUAACCUAAAUAAUUUGCAUGUCUGUUCCCCACCAAAUGUUGACAACCUUGCUAUUCACCUGUCUUCCAAAUCAUUAUAUAUAUUGAACUCCAUUCCUACCAUUAUUAAUCACUUCCCAUGCUGAAAAUUGCCAUUUAUUCCAAUCCUUUGUUUCCCAUAUCUUAACCAGCAUUUAGUCUUUCAGGACUUUUUGUCUCUUAUGCCAUCAUUACCAAGGAUCCAAUCCUGCUCCCACGAAAGUCAAUAUCAGACUCAUUUUGAGUUCAGUGGAACAGACUCAGGCCCUAAGUUUCAUCUUCUGAAUUAUUUUAUAAAAAGACUUGACAGUCUAAAGUUAUAUACAUCGGUUCCAUAUUGUGUUAACUCAACGAAUUCUAACAGGCUAGAGAAAUAUAAUUAACCCUUGCAGAAGCCUUGCUGAUUUAUAUCAAUCGUGUUAUGCUCAUCUAAGGACUUAACAACUCUGUAAUGAUUUUCUUACUGUUUCUUUUCUGGUAUUGAAAUACAGCUCACAUGUCUAUCAUUUCUAUGAACAUCCUUGCCGCUUUUUUAUAGAUUUUUGGCCACCCCCUAGUAUCAUAGCUGUUUUAAUGGCAAAUGAUAAAUGUUAAUAUUUUAAUUACUUCAUUCUUUAAUUCUUCAGAACUCUUGGAUUUGUACCAGUCCUGGUGAUUUACUACAAUUUAUCUUGAGUUGUCCCAUCACCUCUUCUAAUUAUACCUCUAUUUCUAUCAGUGCCUCAGUUUCAUUACCUAUAAAGUGUAAUCCGGGGAUAAGUACUUCCUCAUCAUUUACAGUGGGGAAGCCUUUGAAUGAAAUAAUUUAUUUUCAGUGAAACUUCUCAUGCUCUUUGAUUGCUCUUGCAGUCUGGCAAAACCAGUGGCCCUACCACAGGCUUGCUGCUCCUAAUGUAUUUAAAUAAUUGUUUAAUUGUCAAUUCAGGCCUAGAGAAUACAAGUCACUUCUAAAAGUUUGAUUUUCCACAUACCACACUAAAAUGGCUGUUUUACCAAAAGAGCAGCUUAUAAUUAAGUAUCAGCUACUUAAGUUCUGUGUCUGACUUGAGUUUAGACCUUACACGAUUUCACAGGCAAUGUUGUGACAAGGUUUUUGGCUAGCAGACAUUGAGAUUAACCACAACGCAUAUUUGACCAUGUUAGAAAUUGUAGUCUGCAGUGAGAGUGAUUCAAGUAUAAGCGGCCAUAUUCUCUGAUUUUAUUUUAUUUUUAAAGGAAGCCACGGCGUAAUAGCAUUGGUAGUCUGCUGCUAAAUCAAAGAGUUUUGGGGAACAACAAUUUACAAAACUUUCAGACAGUGAAUUUAUUGGUAAAAUUCUUUCCUGACAUUUCCCAAUGGAGCUCAUUUACAACCUCUCAAGUGAAAAUAGUUGAAUUAAUUUCAGCCUAGUUUCAAAUAGGUCAUUUAAUAAAAAUGACCAAAGUUCAUAUUGUACAUUUAUGGCUGGAAAAAAGUCUUUGCUUAAGGUGAACUCUGCUAUAGAGUAGAUUUAUUAACUAAAAUUUCCACUAAAGAUAGUCCCUUAAAUUGAUAUGUAUUCACAGGUACAAGUUAGUGGUUCAAAUCUUAUAUUAAAUUUAGGGGACUGUCUUUAGUCCUUAUACAUAUAUAUCUCCAAAUGGCAAGUUACUCAAUUUACAAAACUUUGGAUUAGGUGUUGAGAACCCUGUACUAAUAGACAUAAAACUCACACUGAAAUGAAUGUGUAGGAAGUAGCCAUUCAUCAGACAAAGAAAUAGUGACCUUUAACAAGGUCCCUUAUAUGUACAAGAAUGCCCAACAUCAUGAAUUGUGGCAAGUGUUCCUUGCCUAUCUGGAUAUUUUACCUCAGUGUACCUGUUUAAAAGUGGUCUUUUAAAAGUAGAUGCUGAUCUACUUAAAUAGGGUAAAAAGUAUUAGGUGAAAAGGGUGCAAGAUCAGGUUCACUCUUGGCAGUAGAGAGUAGCACAAACUGCACAGGCAUGUACCAACCUGGCCAAACUGCCCUCGUUCAGGGACUUCACCAGUCAGAGGCAGCUUUAUCUUCUUCUGGCAGAUCCCUACGAGAUUUGCAGAAUCAAUACAUCCCUCAGCCACACUAGUUGUUCUGUCAAUGCUGCCCAUUUUGAGAGCUGUGUUGGCCUGGAAGCUACUCAGGAAUGAAGUUUCUGUGGUGCCUUGUGCCACCGCAUCCAACUUUCUGCUUCCAGGGGCUCUCCACCUAGGUAAAUCUUGGCUGUAGAAUCAGGAGUUUCAGUGUUCUCUUGAUGUUUCCUUCUUUCCUGUUUCCUAAUCUUUCUCCAUAUCUACCUCCUCAAUUUUCUCUUCACCAUUUGUGCUGCUUCCUCUACCAGCUAGCUCUUCUUUUUGUCUUCUGGCUGUGCCAACUCUCAUCAGCUGCCUCCUGCACUUUGGUGUAGGCUUAGUGCCCAAAGAACAGUGGAGAAUCAAGUCCACUUUCUCCAAUUUAAUAUUCCAAGCAAAGUUCCAAAAUUUUGCAUAAAUUAAACUGGCAACUUAUUUUUGGAACACUGCUUCUACAAGACAUUUGCUGGAGAAAAAUGGGGACCAAGAACUGUGUUACAGACUUGGACUUUCAUGCCAGAUGUUGGCUCUUUAUUGGGGUGAUUAAUUUUUAUAAGGUCGGUGUGUGUCUGACUGUGUUGUAUAUUGUAUGUAUAAAUAUGUAUAAAAUGGAGAUAUCAGUAGUGACUUUUGUUCAGAUAAAGUUACACAUACAGGAAGACUAAAAUUCUUGUUUCAUACUGAAGUGAUUUAAUUUGGUUUCUAAAUUUGGCACACCAUUCAAAGAACAACAGUAUUUUGUAUUUAAUCUUAAAAUAAAAUAGUUUCUAAUUUUACAGAGGAAACAUUUACAGAUGCUUUCUUUUCGAAAAUUUGCUCUGUUUUUCCUCACACUUCUUUGUAUAAUUCUAGCUAAACAAACACAGUUACCACAAACUCCAAAAUAUCACACACACAAACACACACACAACAUCUUAAAUAUACGCUACUUUUGACAUUUUAAUUUUAAUGACAUAGGUUUUCAUGAAUAAAGAGAAUGUCUAAUUGAGCUACAUAAAAAAUAAUCAUCUGAACUCUUUAGUUCUAUCAGCUAUGUCCAUUUUCUGACACUACCUGUACGCCUUCCUGAUUCCUCAGCUCCACUACUCACAGAGACCAUUAGCAGACCAGGAAGCAAGCUGGGCAGCAGAGAUAUAGGGAGUGGGUAAGAGGAAUGGGGAGCUGUGAAGGGCUGAGUAAAGAUGUGGUUGUGAGGAUAAGGUGAAUGAGGAAGGAUAUGAGGAGUUGAGUGGAGCGUUCGAGAAAUGAGGAAGCAUUUAGUAGGACUAUGAACUACUGCACAGGUGUACUCUGGGAUAAAUUACAGGCAACCUUUAACAUCACUCUCUUGAUUACAUUGUUUCACCUUUAUGUGGUUCUUACAUGUGUUAUAUUUUGGUAGUUCAUUAGGGUAUAGCACUACCAACAUAUAUUUUCCAAACUCUUUUGUUCAGCUUUAAUACUAACUGCUAUAAAAAUAAAGAGAAAAGUAUUGAAAUGACGCUGCACACUUUUAGAUUACCAUAAAGUGUCCCACAAGAUGAAAAUAAUUGAAAAUACAUGGUAACAAUGUCACCCUCUCUUUUAACAUACAAACAAUUUUUUCUUUAAUGUAUUUCUUGUAUAUUAGUAUUCAUAACCAAAACUGCAGUGAUCAAAUUAUAAGAUCAGAAAAUGACUCCAUGAAUAGAUAAAUGAGGAUACAGACUGGUCUAUUGAACCCAAUAAACCUUAAUUUUUAAGCCCCUGAUCCUGUAAUCAGAUCCAUUAGUGCAGACCCUUAGCCUGUUUGGAGCUCCAUUAUUCCGCUAAGGCAUAUCUUCCUGUAGGGUCAGGAUCUAAGGAUCUAACUAAAGCCAACAUAUUUUCGUUUUUGAAUGAAGGUUGGUUUUAUGUUCCCAAGUGGGAAAAGUAUAAAAGAAAAUAUGGGAAAAUGCAUACAGAAGGCAAGACUUGAUUUCAGUUAUUCAGUAACUCCAUUGCAGUCAGUGCAGUUACUCCAGAUUUACACUAUCAGAAUCUUGCCCCAGAAUCUUUUGUCCCUGUAGAUUUCUGUACAAAGUAUAUUCUGUACAUUGGGGCAUAUCUUACAAUCAAUUUGUAGGCAGAAUUUCUUAUUUAAAUGGGGAGUUCUGCUUAAAAUCUGAUGGUACUUAUUGGCCCAUUAUUUGUUAGCUUAUUUUUUAUCAGUUUCUAAAUCUGGGAAGAUUUUAGGAACCAUAUUUUUGGCCAGGAAUAACGCAAACCAAGAAAAAUAAUACUGAUAAUUUAUUAUUAUUAUUUUGUUCUCCAGUUUUUAAUCAGGCAACAAUUUCAGCAAAGUGGAUUGACAGAGAACACAAGGAAACCAAUCAUAACACUCAUUUACACAGUUUAAAAAGAUAUUACACUAGUAAUAUUAGUUCUACACAUUCAUAAGUGAUUGUGGAUACCAACCAUUAAAGUUUAUAUUAAUUAUUGUCAGCCAUUUGGCAUAUUUCUCAAUUUAAUACUUUUAUGUAAUGCCUAGGCAUCAUUUCACUGUUCUCAUAAAGUGCAGCUUGGGCUUAAUGAAAAAGAAUGUAUGACAAUAACAGUAACAAUGUGAAAAGUAGCAGAAGUAGGAUGUUCGCUGGACUGUGUAUUCAAAUACUUCACUGUGUGUUGUCCCACUCUGGACCUAAAAUGGCUGUUUUGCAGGAUGUUGUUGCUUGGUGACCAAAAGUGCAUCUCCUAGACCACAGAGGGAUGUGAACAUUCAGAGAUUGAUUUGUUCCUGUUGCUCUUGAGGAGACCAGGCCAGUAAAAUAGAAGAAGCCUACAUGUAACUAUCUAAAUAUCCCACUUGCUUGCAUAUUUAAAUUGAUAUUUAAAACAGGCUUGUGAUUUUGGGAUGCUCACCAAACAAGCAAUGGGAAAAAUGGAACAAAACCUAGCAUGUCACUGCCCAUGAAAUACAAAAAGUAGACCAAGCCUCAGCUACUCUAAGCCUGCAAGAUACCCUUGCUUCAAUUAAGUCUGCGUUGUAUGUCUAGUCUGUUCCGGUGCAACCUCCCAGUUGCUAUCAGUCUCUCUUUCUUUCAUUAGAAUCAAGUAGUUAAUUAGCCCCAGUCUGUCCUCUCCCCUUCUCUCUUUCCCUUUAACGCAGCAGUAAUGAUGUCUAAUUACCAGCAGCAGUGGAUUACAGCACCAUCAGGAGCAAAUCUCUGUAGCUGACAGCAACAAACCUUAGAGCUUCAAGGAGAGAAUAAUUCCUAACAACGUAGUUGCAUAUUAUUUGCUUAUUUUUUAAUUUUGAAGUUAAAAUUGUAACUUAAUCUAAGUAAUGCAGAGAGAGUGCUUGUGCUGGCCAGAAUUACCAUUGAUGAUUAAUUGUACAUUAAUUACUUCUACCUCUUGAGAGAUCAAGUGAUGGAGAAAGUUUUUACUCUUUUAGGCUUUGAUACUGUUUGUGGCUGUUUCUGUGGGCAGGAGGAGCUCAGAUUUCUGUGACAACAGCAAGACAAAAAUGGCAUAAGUAAAAACUAAACAAUAGGGCUAGUUCUGAAUUAUCAGAAAUGAAUAAACUCUUCAAUAGUUAGUGUGGAUUUCACUAAAUGAAUGAAAGAGUGGGCUUUUGAGAGCUAAACAACACUAACUUGUAAGGGUGCCAUCUGAAAACAUCAGCUUACUCCUAUAUAAAACAUAAUUUUGAGUUAUAGAGAGAAAUCCUAGCACCAUUUAAAUCAAUGGGAGUUUUGUCAUUAACUUUAAUGGGUCCAGGAUUUCAUCCAUAAUAUAUAAAACAAUUCCUUUUGGAGCAUUUGGUACUCUUUGGCAUAUAGUAACAUAUCAGACAAAUAGAUGCCACUCUACAGAUCUGCUUAAACUAUGCUACUUCCAUUUGUGAAUGGAGUAUGAAAUUGAUUGCAUGUGUUUAAGUGGGGGAUGACAUUUGUUUUUAGUAACUGAUAAGUCGUAUCUGAAUGCUGUGCAUACUCUUUUCUUGUUUAUUCUGUGAAACAAAUUUUGGAAACCAAACACUCAGGCAAAUGGAAGUCAGUGGACGUAUUACCUGAGCAAAGACUGCAGGAUCUGUUACUUAAUAUUUUAUGUUUAAUAAUUCAAUGUAAUGCAGAAAUACUUCAAGUUUU